GACGAACGCUGGCGGCGUGCCUAAUACAUGCAAGUAGAACGCUGAAGGAGGAGCUUGCUCUUCUGGAUGAGUUGCGAACGGGUGAGUAACGCGUAGGUAACCUGCCUGGUAGCGGGGGAUAACUAUUGGAAACGAUAGCUAAUACCGCAUAAGAGUAGAUGUUGCAUGACAUUUGCUUAAAAGGUGCAAUUGCAUCACUACCAGAUGGACCUGCGUUGUAUUAGCUAGUUGGUGGGGUAACGGCUCACCAAGGCGACGAUACAUAGCCGACCUGGGAGGGUGAUCGGCCACACUGGGACUGAGACACGGCCCAGACUCCUACGGGAGGCAGCAGUAGGGAAUCUUCGGCAAUGGACGGAAGUCUGACCGAGCAACGCCGCGGGAGUGAAGAAGGUUUUCGGAUCGUAAAGCUCUGUUGUAAGAGAAGAACGAGUGUGAGAGUGGAAAGUUCACACUGUGACGGUAUCUUACCAGAAAGGGACGGCUAACUACGUG
This 495-nucleotide ribosomal RNA is filed under the name uncultured bacterium. RNAcentral's name for it is "partial 16S ribosomal RNA". It matches the Rfam family "Bacterial small subunit ribosomal RNA", at positions 28 to 507 of the family's 1533-position model. The record is from RNAcentral.